CUACGGGUCGCAGCAGUAGGGAAUAUUGGACAAUGGGCGAAAGCCUGAUCCAGCAACACCGCGUGCACGAUGACGGCCUUCGGGUUGUAAAGUGCUUUUAGAGGAGAUGAGAAAGGACAGUAUCCUCUGAAUAAGCCUCGGCGAACUACGUGCCAGCAGCCGCGGUAAAACGUAGGAGGCAAGCGUUAUCCGGAUUUAUUGGGCGUAAAGCGCGUGCAGGCGGUCUAGCAAGUUGGAUGUGAAAGCUCCCGGCUCAACUGGGAGAGGUCGUUCAAUACUGUUAGACUAGAGAAUAGGAGAGGGAGGUGGAAUUCCGGGUGUAGUGGUGAAAUGCGUAGAUAUCCGGAGGAACACCAGUGGCGAAAGCGGCCUCCUGGACUAUUUCUGACGCUAAGACGCGAAAGCUAGGGUAGCAAACGGGAUUAGAUACCCUAGUAGUC
This 440-nucleotide ribosomal RNA is filed under the name uncultured bacterium. RNAcentral describes it as "partial 16S ribosomal RNA". It matches the Rfam family "Bacterial small subunit ribosomal RNA", at positions 339 to 795 of the family's 1533-position model. The record is from RNAcentral.